Long non-coding RNA from Triticum dicoccoides, 1133 nucleotides. RefSeq lists it as uncharacterized. The transcript has 2 exons. Lineage: Eukaryota; Viridiplantae; Streptophyta; Magnoliopsida; Poales; Poaceae. The record is from RefSeq and is a predicted model, not a curated record.
ACAAACGUUCGUAAUUUAUACACCUAGGCUCAGCUUCUCUAUAUUGAUACGAAGGCCUGGAGCGUUUCUUUGUUCCACGCCUUACAAAAACGAGCAAGGCUUAUAUAAUAUUUCUGGUUCCCUUCUACUGUGUGCAAACAGAACUUGGCGGCGCAAUAGCAGCUCAACUACUAUUGUUAUUAAUCAGGAUAAAUGCUUCUGCCUGGCUGGCACACAUGCUUAGGCACAACAGUCUGCUCCAGCACCGCAGGGCAAGGCGCGCUGCAGGUCAUUUAUAUAGCAUCUCCUCAUUUGUAUAUUAUUCACAUAUAGCAUCUCAUUUCUUGGUUGAUUGCUUACAUGUAUUCAACUUCUGCCUCUUUCGCUCCCAAGCUGGCCUCCCUCUCCUCGGUGCUCAGCGGGAGAAGCAUGAGGUGAUGCACCUUUGACCCCGUAGUGCUCGGCUCCAAUUCAUCAGGGAGGCCACCGGCAAGCAUCAAGCUGCCCUUGGUGCUUCCUCGUCAUCAAGGAGGAGGAGGUCGGGUAGCAUCGUCCUCAAGGACAGGCACAACCGCGACAUCGCAGAGAUGGACGAGAUUGUGGUGCUGCUCCUUCUUGUGGUGUAUGCAUCGGCGUGGCUUGCGGUAGUGAUGCAUAUCUUCGUGGGCAAUGCUAUUUGAAGACCAUUCAAGUGAUUUAAAGGAGAAGAUGUCCAGACUGUAAGGAGGUUGAAGAUGACGAUCAAAAGAUUGACAUAUUAAGCGACUGCCAAGAAGCCAAUAAUGCUUGCCCCCUGCCAUUAGUAAUACCCUUGCUUCUUUAUGAAAUCUUUCCUAACUAUCGUUGCAGAUUGUGAGAUCCCUAUUUAAAUACAUUACUCAGCAGCUGGCCGGUACAGAGUUGCGUGGCAGGCAUAUGUGUUCUCAGCCACCUUAUCAAUUGUAGGCUUAGAAUGAUUUGCUUCGUCCAAGUGUUGUUUGUUAACAAUUCCUUUGUUUGUCCAUGUCAAUUCUGAUUUUAGAGGAUACAUAUGUUUUGGUAGGAAGUGUAUUGUUCUUAUGUUUUUUCCUGGUAUGUACUGACUGAUGCAGUAACUGAUGCUUCAGAUUAUGAAAUCCCUAUUAAAUGAAUCGCUCGGUAAUUGUUUGUAUGAA